AGUGAACGCUGGCGGUAGGCCUAACACAUGCAAGUCGAACGGCAGCACAGUAAGAGCUUGCUCUUACGGGUGGCGAGUGGCGGACGGGUGAGGAAUACAUCGGAAUCUACUUUUUCGUGGGGGAUAACGUAGGGAAACUUACGCUAAUACCGCAUACGACCUACGGGUGAAAGCAGGGGAUCUUCGGACCUUGCGCGAUUGAAUGAGCCGAUGUCGGAUUAGCUAGUUGGCGGGGUAAAGGCCCACCAAGGCGACGAUCCGUAGCUGGUCUGAGAGGAUGAUCAGCCACACUGGAACUGAGAGACGGUCCAGACUCCUACGGGAGGCAGCAGUGGGGAAUAUUGGACAAUGGGCGCAAGCCUGAUCCAGCCAUACCGCGUGGGUGAAGAAGGCCUUCGGGUUGUAAAGCCCUUUUGUUGGGAAAGAAAAGCAGCAGGUUAAUACCCCGCUGUUCUGACGGUACCCAAAGAAUAAGCACCGGCUAACUUCGU
Molecule: ribosomal RNA, 491 nt
Filed under: uncultured bacterium
Lineage: Bacteria
Description: partial 16S ribosomal RNA
Rfam family: Bacterial small subunit ribosomal RNA
Source: RNAcentral